Molecule: ribosomal RNA, 445 nt
Filed under: Micrococcus sp. oral taxon F54
Lineage: Bacteria; Bacillati; Actinomycetota; Actinomycetes; Micrococcales; Micrococcaceae
Description: bacterial SSU rRNA
Rfam family: Bacterial small subunit ribosomal RNA
Source: RNAcentral
GAUGAACGCUGGCGGCGUGCUUAACACAUGCAAGUCGAACGAUGAAGCCCAGCUUGCUGGGUGGAUUAGUGGCGAACGGGUGAGUAACACGUGAGUAACCUGCCCUUGACUCUGGGAUAAGCCCGGGAAACUGGGUCUAAUACCGGAUAGGAGCGCCUGUCGCAUGACGGGUGUUGGAAAGAUUUUUCGGUCAUGGAUGGACUCGCGGCCUAUCAGCUUGUUGGUGAGGUAAUGGCUCACCAAGGCGACGACGGGUAGCCGGCCUGAGAGGGUGACCGGCCACACUGGGACUGAGACACGGCCCAGACUCCUACGGGAGGCAGCAGUGGGGAAUAUUGCACAAUGGGCGGAAGCCUGAUGCAGCGACGCCGCGUGAGGGAUGACGGCCUUCGGGUUGUAAACCUCUUUCAGUAGGGAAGAAGCGAAAGUGACGUACCUGCAGAGA